ACAACUCCCAGCGUGCACCGCGGCGUUCGGGCGCUAUGACGGGCGGCCCGCCGCAGCCUCCCACGCCCCGGAGCUUUCGGUGUCCCCCCGCGUUCAAAGCGCUGGGAAAAAAACACAAGGAUUGGUGAAAUAACCCUCACGAAAUCCUGCCUUGCACGUGAUGAGGAAAAUGCGACGGCAAGCCCUCAGUGCCACGUAGAAGAUUUGUCACUUGGCUGGAUGCUGACACACUCCUGAGAGCCAAACAGCAAACCAAGAGCUGAUGUUUGUAUGGUUGCCUUUGUGAUCCCAAACCAUUCUGAACACAGAAAGAAAAUACUCUUCAGGAUCACACCUUGUGCCUGGUUUUCUGUUGUGCUGAGCAGCAGACAGCUGGUAUCCUGUUUGUGUAAUAAACACAACUGGUGGAUAUGGUAAAA
This is a long non-coding RNA of Taeniopygia guttata (zebra finch), 419 nucleotides long. RefSeq lists it as uncharacterized. NCBI's taxonomy places the organism in Eukaryota, Metazoa, Chordata, Aves, Passeriformes, Estrildidae. The record is from RefSeq and is a predicted model, not a curated record.